GCGUCCUCAGCGACGGAC
This 18-nucleotide small nuclear RNA is filed under the name Arabidopsis thaliana (thale cress). RNAcentral's name for it is "snRNA_13662". Lineage: Eukaryota; Viridiplantae; Streptophyta; Magnoliopsida; Brassicales; Brassicaceae. The record is from RNAcentral.